AAUUCAAAAAGUAUCUCAAGAAGAAAGGGGAGAUGAAGAAUCUCAAGAAAGAAGCUAAGAACUCGGCCAAGAAAAGCAAGAUUCCCAAAGAAGGCUUCACUUGCUAUGAGUGUGGAAAAUCGGGCCAUAUGAAGCAUCAGUGCCUGAGCUACCUCAAGAAAGUCGAGAACAAGAAGAGCAACUCUCGAAUGUCCAAGUCAAAAGGAGUAUACAUUAUUUGAGACGAUUUCGAGAAAGAUUCGACUUCAAGCUCAUUCGAUGAGGAGGAAAAUACAAAGGUAUGCCUUAUGGCACAAGUGCAUGAGAAGUGCACAUCUAGUGAUGAAGAUGAUUCUAUUGAGGUACACUCCUAUACUUCAUCAUGCUCUAAUGACUCUCCUCCAUACAAUGAAUUAUAUGCAACUUAUGUCGAAAUGCAUGAGGAAUUAAAGAAAAUUAUUAAAGUAAAUAUAGAUAGAAAAAGAGUUAUCUCCUUGCAUGAAAACAAAAUAAUUGAAAUGCAAAAGGAAUUAGAUGAGCUUAAACUUGAAAAUGAAACUCUUGAUCUUAUCUAUGCAUGUGCCUCAUGUGAUUGCUCUACUUCUAAAUUAUGUCAACUCACUAUAUGUGAUACUUGUGAGAAAUUAAAUGCUGAAAAUUCUGUUGUGAAACAAAAACUUUCAAAGCUCACAUAUAGUCAAGAAAACCUUAACACAUUGCUUGCUAAUACAAGAAACGUUGGUAACUAAUCUGGAAUUGGAUAUAAACCUGAAUCUAAGAAAAGACCAUGUAGAAAUCCAGUAUUAGUUCAUAUGCAUAAGAAGUAAAAUAAUAACAUGCUUACUUGUUUUUAUUGUGGUACACAUGGUCACACAUGUACUACAUGCUUUAUUAGAAAACUUGGUGUGCCAAGUGACAAAUAUGUUUGGGUAAAGAUGAGGCAAGAUCUCUUAGUUAAUAACAAGAAGGGACCCAAAAUAACUUGGGUACCCGAAAGAGACAAGUGAAUUGUGUUUGUAGUGCCAAAGGGCAUUUGAGCGUCAAGGGAUAAAUCAACAAAAGAUGUUCUAGGCACAAGGUUGGUGAGUAGAUCAAGGUGAGUAGAUCAAGGUAAGUUUGAGCUAUCACCAAAGGGUAAGUAAGUUAAGUCUAUUAAGAAGGUUACAAAAUUAAUUAUUGAUAUUGAGUACACUUGAACUAAAAAGUAUAUGUUAUUGUUAUACUCAAUUCAUAACAUGUGAUAUCAUAGUAAGUGCUAUCAAAUGUUUUAAAAUGCUUUAACAAGUGGCAUCAUGACAUGUACAUUUGUUUCAAAGCAAAAUUAUGUUUGAAAGUGCCAUGUCUAUUGUAUGCUUGAUACCAUGCUAAGUGAGUAUAUGCUAAAUUGCCUGUAAAUCUCUAAAUUGUACAUAUUGUCAUUAAAUGCAUGUAUGCUUAAUUGUUAUAUGUUUUCAUGCAUUCUAGCUUUAGAAAGUUUGUUCAAUUCUGGAUUAGAUAGAUUUUUAGGUUGUAUCCCUUAGCAUGUUUUAGUAAGCUCAAAAUUGUGCUUAGAACUGUCAAUUUUCUGUCAUUAAUCAAUUAACCCUCAGUAUAAUCGAUUAAAUGAGUUCCAAUAGCUAAAGUAUUUUGAAAUAAAUCAUUUUAAUCGAUUAAAUUUUUUGUUAAUCGAUUACUUGGGCUCAAUUUUUUCAGAAAUUAUUUUUUGUUGUUUUGUGGCUUACAUCUAUAUUUUUUAGCCAAGUACAUUUCAUGGUUAUGGUUGUACCUUCUUUUAGUAUUCUGUAACUGUGUUGAACCUUGCUAAUUAUAUUAAAUGGAAUUUGUUUUUUGCGUGAAUCUUGAACAUGUCUUAAUUGUGUAUUAUAAUUGAAUGAUUGAAAUAUGCUUUAAAAUGAAAAUACCCAACAAGUGCUAACAAGUGGUGCUAACAAGUGACAUACAUAUAUGUUUAAUCAUUUCAUGCCUAAUAUGUUUACAUAAUGGAUAUGUCAUGCAAAAUCUGUCUAUAUUCAAUUUUAGAGUCAAAAAUCAGUGCAUUUGUUUAAGCUUCUCAAACUGGUUAUUGAUUAUGCUAAUAAUUAAUCAAUCAAUUAUAGUUUUUCAAAAUAAAUUGCUAUAUCUCUUCUUACUUUUGACUAUGUUAAUUAGUUGUUCUUUUUUAUAAUGUUAAAAGGGGGAGAAAAGUUGUUUGUUUGUUGUUGAUGUAUACACGUUAUUAAAGAGAAAGGUUGUCAAAUGAGCUUCCGUAUUAUGCUACCUACCAGGAGUACUUCUCUAAGUAAUAAAGGCGAAGAAGAUAAAGGGGAGAACAAUGAAAGGGGGAGCAGCGCACUUUGAAAGUCAAAUACACAACCUAAACCUGAUCUCUCAAUAUUGAUCAUAUCAUCAAGAUUUUCAUCAAACAAAGAUUUGGUAGAUUUAGUGUGGAGUCUGUCAUGGAGUUUGUUAUCAUCAAAAAGGGGGAGAUUGAAAGUGAAGUGCACCAUUAGAGAUUGAUCUAUAUUUUCAUGAAGAC
This 2494-nucleotide long non-coding RNA is filed under the name Lupinus angustifolius (narrow-leaved blue lupine). RNAcentral describes it as "long non-coding RNA (LANG_LNC000032)". Lineage: Eukaryota; Viridiplantae; Streptophyta; Magnoliopsida; Fabales; Fabaceae. The record is from RNAcentral.